RNAcentral lists this ribosomal RNA (1842 nucleotides) under human gut metagenome. RNAcentral's name for it is "bacterial LSU rRNA". It matches the Rfam family "Bacterial large subunit ribosomal RNA", at positions 13 to 2096 of the family's 2925-position model. The record is from RNAcentral.
UAAAUAUAUAAAAGAGCAUUAGACGGAUACCUUGACAUUUAUUACAUUAAGGACGUUAUUAAUAACGAGAAUUUAAAAUGAAUUGUUUUUAUGAAUUUUAAAUCUCCUUAGAGAAAACUUUUUCAAAAUGAAAUUGUAUAAUUUAGCGAAUUGAAACAUCUUAGUAGCUAAAAGAAUAAAUAUCAAACGAAAUUCCAUUAGUAGUGGCGAGCGAAAGUGGAUUAAGGCUAUUUUAAUAAUAUUUGAGUUUAUAUAAAAUAACAUAGAUGGUUUUUAUUCCAGUAUAUAAUAAUAAAUAUUAUUAAAUUGAGUAAAACGAAAUAGGUGUAAUUUUGUUUGAAGAUAAGGGAACCAUCCUUUAAGCCUAAAUAUAAUAAAUGAUCGAUAGUGAACAAGUACUGUAAAGGAAAGGUGAAAAAGAACUUACGAAAUUGAAAUAGAUCUUGAAAUCUAAUGCUUUUAUCAAUUGGAGCUUUGUAAAAAGUGACAAUGUACCUUUUGUAUAAUGGACCAGUAAGUUUAUUUAUAUAGCAAGUUUAAAUUAUGAAAUGUAGACUUAGUGAAAGCGAAUUUGAAUAGAAUUAAAGAGUUAUAUAAAUAAGACCCGAAACCAGGUGAUCUAAUUAUGAACAAGUUGAAAAAAUAUUAAGUUAUUUUUGAGGACUGAACUCGUGCCUGUUGCAUAAGGCUGGGAUGAUUUGUGAUUAGGGGUGAAAGGCUAAUCAAACUUGGUGAUAGCUGGUUUUCUGUGAAAUCUAUUUACGUAAAGUGUUAAAAUUAUUUUUUUGGGGUAGAGAUAUCGAUAAAAGAGGGUUGCCCAUAAAGCUUUACCGAUUUUAAGGAAACUUCGAAUACAAAAAAAUAUUUUAAUAAUCGGACUCAUAAUGCUAAGGUUGUGGGUCGAGAGGGAAACAGCCCAGAUUGUUUAUUAAGGUCUUUAAAUUUUUUAUUUCUCAUAAGAAAAGAGUUUUUAAAUUGAAAUAACUAAGAGUUAGGUUCAGAAGCAGCCAUUCUUUAAAGAAAGCGUAAAAGCUCAUUAGUUUAGUUUAAAGAUUCCAACGAUGUAUAGAGAUUGUAAGAAAUAUACCGAAAUAGCAAAUUUUAAUUUUAUGUUAAAAUGGUAACAGAACGUUCUGUAUGCUAAAAGAUAAAUUGUAAAAUUUAUUAAUGUAUCAGAAGUGAUAAUACUGGUAUGAGUAGUAUAAAUAAUAUAAAAUAGGUAAUUAAAUAUUAUCGUCGAAAAUUCAAGGUUUUUAAUAUAUAAUUGUUAAACAUUAUUAAGUAAUACGGCCUCUAAGAAUAAAGCGAAAACUGUAUUCGAUGAGUUUAGAUUUAAAUAAACUUUAAAUAUUUUUUAAAUACAAAAAAAUAUUUGAAUUAAAAAAAAAUUUAUGUAAAACCGUACUAAAACCAACACAGGUGAAUAAGUAGAGUAUACUAAGACGAUAAAGAGAAUCAUAGUGAAGGAACUCGGCAAAUUAACCUUGUAACUUCGGGAUAAAAGGUUUUUAUUAAAGUAUUUUUUUAAUAAAAUAAUAUGAAAGAGGGUAGCGACUGUUUAAUAAAAACACAGGACUUUGCUAAAUCGUAAGAUGAUGUAUAAGGUCUGACACCUGCCAGGAACUGUGUAGCUAAAUUUAAAGAUAAAUAUUUUUAAUAUAAGUAGCAGUAAUCGGCGGCCAUAACUCUGAUGGUCCUAAGGUAGCGAAAUUCCUUGUCAACUAAUUAUUGACGUGCAUGAAUGGUGUAACGACUUCCCUACUGUCUCCACUAUGAACUUUGUGAAAUUGAAAUAUUCGUGAAGAUGCGAAUUAUAUAUGGUUAGACGGGAAGACCCCAUGC